Molecule: ribosomal RNA, 1537 nt
Filed under: Erwinia amylovora
Lineage: Bacteria; Pseudomonadati; Pseudomonadota; Gammaproteobacteria; Enterobacterales; Erwiniaceae
Description: bacterial SSU rRNA
Rfam family: Bacterial small subunit ribosomal RNA
Source: RNAcentral
UAAUUGAAGAGUUUGAUCAUGGCUCAGAUUGAACGCUGGCGGCAGGCCUAACACAUGCAAGUCGAACGGUAGCACAGAGAGCUUGCUCUUGGGUGACGAGUGGCGGACGGGUGAGUAAUGUCUGGGAAACUGCCCGAUGGAGGGGAUAACUACUGGAAACGGUAGCUAAUACCGCAUAACGUCUACGGACCAAAGUGGGGGACCUUCGGGCCUCACACCAUCGGAUGUGCCCAGAUGGGAUUAGCUGGUAGGUGAGGUAACGGCUCACCUAGGCGACGAUCCCUAGCUGGUCUGAGAGGAUGACCAGCCACACUGGAACUGAGACACGGUCCAGACUCCUACGGGAGGCAGCAGUGGGGAAUAUUGCACAAUGGGCGCAAGCCUGAUGCAGCCAUGCCGCGUGUAUGAAGAAGGCCUUCGGGUUGUAAAGUACUUUCAGCGGGGAGGAAGGGUGAGAGGUUAAUAACCUCCUGCAUUGACGUUACCCGCAGAAGAAGCACCGGCUAACUCCGUGCCAGCAGCCGCGGUAAUACGGAGGGUGCAAGCGUUAAUCGGAAUUACUGGGCGUAAAGCGCACGCAGGCGGUCUGUCAAGUCGGAUGUGAAAUCCCCGGGCUUAACCUGGGAACUGCAUUCGAAACUGGCAGGCUAGAGUCUCGUAGAGGGGGUAGAAUUCCAGGUGUAGCGGUGAAAUGCGUAGAGAUCUGGAGGAAUACCGGUGGCGAAGGCGGCCCCCUGGACGAAGACUGACGCUCAGGUGCGAAAGCGUGGGAGCAAACAGGAUUAGAUACCCUGGUAGUCCACGCCGUAAACGAUGUCGACUUGGAGGCUGUUCCCCUGAGGAGUGGCUUCCGGAGCUAACGCGUUAAGUCGACCGCCUGGGGAGUACGGCCGCAAGGUUAAAACUCAAAUGAAUUGACGGGGGCCCGCACAAGCGGUGGAGCAUGUGGUUUAAUUCGAUGCAACGCGAAGAACCUUACCUGGCCUUGACAUCCACGGAAUUCUGCAGAGAUGCGGAAGUGCCUUCGGGAACCGUGAGACAGGUGCUGCAUGGCUGUCGUCAGCUCGUGUUGUGAAAUGUUGGGUUAAGUCCCGCAACGAGCGCAACCCUUAUCCUUUGUUGCCAGCGAUUCGGUCGGGAACUCAAAGGAGACUGCCGGUGAUAAACCGGAGGAAGGUGGGGAUGACGUCAAGUCAUCAUGGCCCUUACGGCCAGGGCUACACACGUGCUACAAUGGCGCAUACAAAGAGAAGCGACCUCGCGAGAGCAAGCGGACCUCAUAAAGUGCGUCGUAGUCCGGAUCGGAGUCUGCAACUCGACUCCGUGAAGUCGGAAUCGCUAGUAAUCGUAGAUCAGAAUGCUACGGUGAAUACGUUCCCGGGCCUUGUACACACCGCCCGUCACACCAUGGGAGUGGGUUGCAAAAGAAGUAGGUAGCUUAACCUUCGGGAGGGCGCUUACCACUUUGUGAUUCAUGACUGGGGUGAAGUCGUAACAAGGUAACCGUAGGGGAACCUGCGGUUGGAUCACCUCCUUA